Molecule: long non-coding RNA, 1761 nt
Filed under: Sus scrofa (pig)
Lineage: Eukaryota; Metazoa; Chordata; Mammalia; Artiodactyla; Suidae
Description: lncRNA (ENSSSCG00005008259.1)
Source: RNAcentral
UAGUCCUUGGUCAUACAUUUAGACAUUUUACUAAUGUAUUCAUCUUGUAGGUCCCAAUUGAUUUUUAUUUUUUAUUUAUCAUCUCAAGCAUUUGAUUACAUUAAUAUUAUAUUAAAUAUGAACAUAUCAAUUAUAACAUAUAACAUUCAUAUUGUAUAAUAAUGUCAUAACAUAUAUAUAAAUGUAUAGUAUUUAAUGUAUUUGUUGACAUGUUAAAUAUACAUUAAUAUAUUUGAUAUACUAUAUUAAAAAUACAAUUGAUUAAUUAAUAUAGUCUCUAUACUCAUUUAUACAUCCUAUAAUAUCCCAUGAAGCUAACAUCACAAUUUAGCCACUUUCCUGACCAGUGUGUUCAGCAACCACCAUUUUGUGUGAUCAGAAGAAUGCUUUUUUCUUGUAUUUGCAUAGAAUAUUUCCAGGAGGAAAUACUAAAAGAAACUGGUGUAAUAAUGGUAGCCUUUGGGAAGAAGGAUUAAGAGUGUGAACUGACAGCUUUAUAUUUCAAUGUAUAUCAUUUAUUUAUUUAUUUUUUAUUGGGGGAACCCACAGUAUAUGGAAGUUCACAGAUAUUAUUUAAAUUAUAAAUAACAUGUUUUCUACAGGAUGCUUUCAACAGCUGUGGGACUUUAUAACUGGGGUUCAGAUAUAUUACUCGCCUUUUUAGGUGUUUCUUUGUUUGUCUUUUGUUUGUUUUGUUCUGUUUUGUUUUUCUGAGGAAGGGGCAGGUCUAGAGUAUUAACCCUGUGCUUUUUUUUUUUUAACAGCCGCACCUGUGGCAUAUAGACGUUCCCAGGCCAGGGGUUGAAUCAGAGCUACAGCUGAGGCCUACCCCACAGCCAUAGCAACACCAGAUCCAAGUUGCACCUGGGACCUACACCACAGCUUGCAGCAAGCCUGAAUCCUUAACCCAUGGAGCAAUGCCAGGGAUUGAACCUACAUCUUCAUGGAGACUAUGCCACGUUCUUAACCCGCUGAAUCACAAAGGGAACUCCUACCCUAUGAUUUUGAUACCAGAAAAACAAGUGAUUCAUAUUAAUGGAAAGAUGGGAACUGAGUUGUCUAUAACAAGAUUCCUUUGAAAAAUGACACAAUAUGUGCCAAAAACAUCAAGAAAGGCAGGUCUCUGCUUAAAAAAAGAAAAAAAAAAAAAAAAAAAAAAAAACAGCUAAUGGAUUCUUUCAAAUAUAAUAUGUCAAGGGUCAGAUGCUGGAACACCAGACAAUCUUUAAGGAUCAUCAGUUUACAAAACUCUCAGAUUACAAGAACUCCACAUCCACCCUCUAAUUUUAACACAUAUGUUCUUGUUUCAUUCAAUUACUUUCAAAUGUGUGCUUUAAAGUGACAAAUUUAGGAGUUCCCAUAGUGGCUCAGCGGAAACGAAUCUGACUGGCAUCCACGAGGACACAGGAUAGAUCCCUGGCCUCGCUCAGCAAGUUAAGGAUCCAAUGUUCCUGUGAGUUGUGUAGGUCACAGACGCAGCUCAGAUCUGACAUUGCUGCGGCUAUGGUGCAGGCCAGCAGCUACAGCUCCGAUUCAGUCCCUAGCCUGGGAACUUCCAUAAGCCUCAGUGCAGCCCCCAAAGGACAAAAAAAUUAAAAAGUAAAGUGGCAAAUUUAAUGGGAGUUUCAGUUAUGGCUCAGUGGGUUACAAACCCAACUAGUAUCCAUGAGGAUGCAGGUUUGAUACCUGACCUCACUCAGUAGGUUAGGGAUCUGUGUUGCCAUGAGCUGCAGUAUAGGUCGCAGAUGUGGCUCAGAUCCC